Molecule: non-coding RNA, 23 nt
Filed under: Arabidopsis thaliana (thale cress)
Lineage: Eukaryota; Viridiplantae; Streptophyta; Magnoliopsida; Brassicales; Brassicaceae
Source: RNAcentral
AAGCCUACCUGCUGUAUAAUGCA